UGCCAGCAGCCGCGGUAAGACGGAGGGUGCAAACGUUGUUCGGAAUCACUGGGCAUAAAGAGCACGUAGGCGGUUCGCUAAGUCAGGUGUGAAAGCCCCCGGCUCAACCGGGGAACUGCAUUUGAUACUGGCGAGCUAGAGUUCGGUUGGGGUGAGUGGAACUCCAGGUGGAGCGGUGAAAUGCGUAGAUAUCUGGAGGAACACCGGUGGCGAAAGCGACUCACUGGGCCGAAACUGACGCUGAGGUGCGAAAGCUAGGGUAGCAAACGGGAUUAGAUA
Molecule: ribosomal RNA, 279 nt
Filed under: uncultured bacterium
Lineage: Bacteria
Description: partial 16S ribosomal RNA
Rfam family: Bacterial small subunit ribosomal RNA
Source: RNAcentral